This 103-nucleotide small RNA is filed under the name Listeria monocytogenes serotype 4b str. LL195. Lineage: Bacteria; Bacillati; Bacillota; Bacilli; Caryophanales; Listeriaceae. The record is from RNAcentral.
CCAUUUUUAUUUCAAGCACAUCAAGUCAUUACGACUGGGCGAUUAAAAAAAUACGGAAAUUCAAGAAAGCCGCUGGAAUCAAAUGAAUUCCAACGGCUUUUUU